RNAcentral lists this long non-coding RNA (205 nucleotides) under Nicotiana benthamiana. RNAcentral's name for it is "long non-coding RNA (NBEN_LNC020032)". Lineage: Eukaryota; Viridiplantae; Streptophyta; Magnoliopsida; Solanales; Solanaceae. The record is from RNAcentral.
GGAAAAUGGUCUGAGUCGCCACCCACCAUCCUAACCAUAGUCUUAGCUCCAUCGUACAUGUUCUUGAUUACUCUGAUGUAGGCUUCUGGCACGCUCUUUGCGUCCAAGCACCUCCAUAGCACCUCCCUUGGGACCUUGUCAUACGCCUUCUCUAAGUCGAUAAGCACCAUGUGCAUGUCCUUGUUCUUAUCCCUGAACUGCUCCA